UGGUCAAGUUAUUAAGGGUGCAGGGUGGAUGCCUUGGCACUAGGAGCCGAUGAAGGACGUGAUAAGCUGCGAUAAGCUUCGGGGAGUUGCACGUAAACUUUGAUCCGAAGAUUUCCGAAUGAGGAAACUCACUUAGAGUAAUGUCUAAGUAUCAUUAAGUGAAUACAUAGCUUAAUGAGGGGAACUCAGGGAACUGAAACAUCUAAGUACCUGAAGGAAGAGAAAGAAAUUCGAUUCCGUAAGUAGCGGCGAGCGAACGCGGAUUAGCCCAAACCAAUAAAGUUUUCUUUAUUGGGGUUG
This 300-nucleotide ribosomal RNA is filed under the name Clostridioides difficile. RNAcentral describes it as "partial 23S ribosomal RNA". It matches the Rfam family "Bacterial large subunit ribosomal RNA", at positions 1 to 300 of the family's 2925-position model. The record is from RNAcentral. Lineage: Bacteria; Bacillati; Bacillota; Clostridia; Peptostreptococcales; Peptostreptococcaceae.